GACGAACGCUGGCGGCGUGCUUAACACAUGCAAGUCGAACGAAGAGCGAUGGAAGUUUGCUUCUAUCAAUCUGAGUGGCACACGGGUGAGUAACGCGUAAUCAACCUGCCCUUCAGAGGGGGACAACAGUUGAAAACGACUGCUAAUACCGCAUACGAUCUAAUCAAGGCAUCGAGGAUAGAGGAAAGGUGGCACCGACACGUAAGCUAUCAGUGAAGGAGGGGGUUGGGGUUGAUUAGCUCGAUGGAGGGGUAAUGGGCCAACCAGGCGAGGAUCAGUAGGCGGGCUUGAAAGAAGGACGGCCAACACGGGAAUGAGACACGGCCCAAGCUUCUACCGGGAGGAGCAGGGGGGAAUCUUCCGCAAUGGACGGAAAGCUGGCUGAGGAAAGCCGCGGGGGAGAUCGCGGGCUUCGGGUUGGAAAGCUCUGUUUAUCGGGAAGAAAGGCCUUCUUGCGAAUAGUGAGAAGGAUUGACGGUACCGUAAUAGAAAGCCACGGCUAACUACGUG
This 510-nucleotide ribosomal RNA is filed under the name uncultured bacterium. RNAcentral's name for it is "partial 16S ribosomal RNA". It matches the Rfam family "Bacterial small subunit ribosomal RNA", at positions 28 to 507 of the family's 1533-position model. The record is from RNAcentral.